GACGAACGCUGGCGGCGCGCCUAACACAUGCAAGUCGAACGGAGCUGAGAGAAGCUUGCUUUUCUUAGCUUAGUGGCGAACGGGUGAGUAACGCGUGAGUAACCUGCCCUGGAGUGGGGGACAACAGUUGGAAACGACUGCUAAUACCGCAUAAGCCCACGAUCCGGCAUCGGCAUGAGGGAAAAGGAUUUAUUCGCUUCAGGAUGGACUCGCGUCCAAUUCGCUAGUUGGUGAGGUAACGGCCCACCAAGGCGACGAUUGGUAGCCGGACUGAGAGGUUGGACGGCCACAUUGGGACUGAGACACGGCCCAGACUCCUACGGGAGGCAGCAGUGGGGGAUAUUGCACAAUGGGGGAAACCCUGAUGCAGCGACGCCGCGUGGAGGAAGAAGGUGUGCGGAUUGUAAACUCCUGUCGUUAGGGACGAUAAUGACGGUACCUAACAAGAAAGCACCGGCUAACUACGUG
Molecule: ribosomal RNA, 468 nt
Filed under: uncultured bacterium
Lineage: Bacteria
Description: partial 16S ribosomal RNA
Rfam family: Bacterial small subunit ribosomal RNA
Source: RNAcentral